CGUUUCUUUGCUGGCGACCGGCGCACGGGUGAGUAACACGUAUCCAACCUGCCCUUUACUCGGGGAUAGCCUUUCGAAAGAAAGAUUAAUACCCGAUAGCAUAAUGAUUCCGCAUGGUUUCAUUAUUAAAGGAUUCCGUAAAGGAUGGGGAUGCGUUCCAUUAGGUUGUUGGUGAGGUAACGGCUCACCAAGCCUUCGAUGGAUAGGGGUUCUGAGAGGAAGGUCCCCCACAUUGGAACUGAGACACGGUCCAA
Molecule: ribosomal RNA, 254 nt
Filed under: uncultured bacterium
Lineage: Bacteria
Description: partial 16S ribosomal RNA
Rfam family: Bacterial small subunit ribosomal RNA
Source: RNAcentral